Corvus hawaiiensis (hawaiian crow) is the source of this 1434-nucleotide long non-coding RNA. RefSeq lists it as uncharacterized. The record is from RefSeq and is a predicted model, not a curated record. The transcript is spliced from 3 exons. NCBI's taxonomy places the organism in Eukaryota, Metazoa, Chordata, Aves, Passeriformes, Corvidae.
UGCAUGUUUGUAUUUCUAAGAAAUGCCUUAGAUACAUCUAUAACCCUAUAUUACAUAUCAUAAUUACUCUUUAAAUCUGAAAAAGUGCAACCGAGAUAUAUACAUAAUUGGAUACUUCAGUCUCUCCAAACGACAGGACCAUGAGUAGCACACUACGCUGAAGUGAAGGGCACUUGCUUCUUCCUGCCCAUGAGCUGUACUGCUAAUGUCCUCCUUCCUCAGAUUCUUAUUACCCAAAUAGUACUUAUGUAAAAGUAACCAUUCUACAUGACUUUUUAAUUACUUUCAUUGGCACAUCACUGCAGCUACUGUGUUCUUUCUUAAGAAUGGGAGAAUCAGAUGUGUAUCUGCUUUCUGCUUUAGCAAGGAUUACAGUAGAUAAUGUAACAUGUUGAUGCAAAUUGACAUGCAUUUUUGAGCAAUACCUCUUUAAGUGUAAUUCUUAUUUUGCAUUUUCCCUGUGAGUAAACACCUAACAAGCGUACCUUUGCAACCAUGGACAACAUUCAAUGAAGAUGCUGAAAAUCUGGCUUCAACAUUGUCAGAGAGGUCUCACACACCAUUAGAAGUAAAGGUUUACAGAACAGUAGAUGUGUACAGAACACUAGGUACUAGAUUUGGCCCCAAGACAUUAGUUCAUCAGUGUUUAAAGAUUUAUACAGUAAAGUCUUAGUGUACUUAUGUGCUGAAGUCAUAACUCUGAGGAGAUAUUCAUCCUUCAGGUAACUAAGAGCCUCAAUUAACUGUGGCUCAGAAAAUAGGAUUUCAACUGUACUGAAGUGUGGAAGAGCUCCAGCAGAUCGAUUAAUCAAGCCCUGCAAUGAAGCUAAAAGCAUACCACAGACGUCUCCAAAUACAGACUCUCAGUGCCCUCAGGAAGGAUCUGGAGCCCUGGGAUUUUGGUCACUUCUGACUCAUCUGUUUUUGCCACUUCUCUGUCUGGACUCUACGUCCAUCAGGAUGCACAUUGUCUCCCUUCCACAUACUGUGGGAAGUUAAGAGCCCCAAGAGUCAUGCAAGUAGCAGACUUGAAAGACACUAUGGAAAUGACUGAAUCCAAACCUGACAUCUACAAGUACUAAGCCUAAAUCUCCCCAGCAUCUCCUUUAGGAAUCCCUGUGGAGCCUCCAAGAUUACUUCAUCUACCUCAUCUUCUUAAUUUCAAGUUCACACAGACAUCAGAGGCAGAAACAUCCUGGAAAGGAAGGGUAGAAGAGGAUAAAUCUCAGAAUUCUACUGACCACCUCAUCAUGCUCAACAAGAUCCUCAAGUAGACAACCAUGCCAACAGCUGGGAAAGGAGCUCCUCUAAGCAGUUGCCCAGUUUUUCCCACUAGUGCCCACCAAUUACCAUACCAUGGGUAUUAAUCAUGCUAUCACUGGCUUGCAAAGUAUGUAAUCAGCAGUGGAAAGAUAUUGUAUGCACAAAUAAAUU